RNAcentral lists this ribosomal RNA (252 nucleotides) under uncultured bacterium. RNAcentral's name for it is "partial 16S ribosomal RNA". It matches the Rfam family "Bacterial small subunit ribosomal RNA", at positions 524 to 776 of the family's 1533-position model. The record is from RNAcentral.
UACGGAGGAUGCGAGCGUUAUCCGGAUUUAUUGGGUUUUAAGGGUGCGCAGGCGGAUUUUUAAGUCAGCGGUCAAAUCGUGGGGCUCAACCCCAUCCAGCCGUUGAAACUGGGGAUCUAGAGUGUGCGAGAGGUAUGCGGAAUGCGUGGUGUAGCGGUGAAAUGCAUAGAUAUCACGCAGAACCCCGAUUGCGAAGGCAGCAUACCGGUGCACAACUGACGCUCAGGCACGAAAGCGUGGGUAUCGAACAGG